UUGCUUUGGGAUUACCCAACAAACUAAUACCAGUUAUUUCCUUUUGUUUUGCUUUUUUUCUAUCAGAUACCUGAACAUUGAGACCCUUUGGAUAUCGUUGAGAAUAUGGAAGUAUGAUAUAAAUCCACAGUGUAAUUCGGUGGAUCACUGGAGGCUAAACGAGUUCGAAGAUCAACAAGUUAUCGACGCUAUUCAAUGAUCGUUCCAGCAAUGGCAAUACACACGGUUAACUCUGAUCGUAUUCUAUUGAACGCAUAGCAGUUGCCGGCAGCAGAUAAAAGCAGUCGAUGAAUCGGCCAGGCGAUCCCUUAGCUACCGCACUUUAUUAAAGCUACUCGUUAUACUGGAUACAACUACUCGUUAUAACUAA
This 370-nucleotide long non-coding RNA is filed under the name Polistes fuscatus (common paper wasp). RNAcentral describes it as "uncharacterized LOC122524926". The record is from RNAcentral. Lineage: Eukaryota; Metazoa; Arthropoda; Insecta; Hymenoptera; Vespidae.